GGGAGGAGGCGCGCGGGCCCGGGCGGGCGGCUCCGGGGAAGCCUGGCCAGGCGGCGGGGCGCCCGCAGGGUCCGGGCCCAGCGGGUCAGUGUGCGGCCGAGGGCGGGGCUGCGCGCACACUUGUGGGUUCCCGCCGAGUUAGAGAUGACUAACGCUGGCCAGAGCUUGCAAAGGGGAGAAGGAGUUCAGAAAAACAAACGUCCUCUAGAAACGACACAUCCCCAUGUAUCCUACGGGCCUGGCCUGUUUCGGUGGACGCUGUGCUGGAACUGCCCUCUGCCUGGUUUGGAGGCCGGAGACGAGCGACCCCAUGGGCGGUGACAGCCCCACCCCCACAAACAAACGCACACUGUUUAGAAACUUCCUCCUUUGAAAGAAAAGCUACCUAAGCAGCUUCAUCAAACCGAAAAAGGGAAGGGUAGUGGAGGGGUGGGGCGGGGAGGGCGGACGUGAGGCCCUUUAGAAGCGGAAAGGUGUACCUCAGAAUAUGUCAUCCCACUGUCAUUCACUCCAAGCGCCAGUUAUCAGAAGUUCAUCCUGAGGCAGCAGGGCUGGCCUUGUCACACCUGGGCAGAAGCUGAAGUGUCCUUGACACAUCUUGACAUCACUUUUAUAACUCAGUUGUCAAAUAUUAGUCAUUUUGAUGCUCAUCACUAUCCCAGGAAGAAGUGGGAUGAGUAUUAAAGAAAAUAGAAAAUAAAUGUUGAAGUAAAUGGCGGACACUGGAGAUGAAUCAUUUAACACUAAUUCAACUGCCCUCCAGCAUAACUUUCUGCAGAGUCCUCUACAGGUUGAUUUCCUCACAGGCCCCCUCCAAGAGCCCAGGAGACAGAGCAGCUAAUGGACAGAAUCACAGAUGGACACAGACAGAAACUGAACUGCAGUGGCCCCCUGGGCACGUGAAGGGAUUAAGCAGAAAGUAAAGUCAACAGAGGGUGAGGCUCUAGCCAACCACCUGUUUUUGUGAAUAAAGUUUUACUGGACAUAUCCAUCCCCAU
Long non-coding RNA from Nycticebus coucang (slow loris), 998 nucleotides. RefSeq lists it as uncharacterized. The transcript is spliced from 3 exons. Lineage: Eukaryota; Metazoa; Chordata; Mammalia; Primates; Lorisidae. The record is from RefSeq and is a predicted model, not a curated record.